RNAcentral lists this ribosomal RNA (773 nucleotides) under uncultured fungus. Its description in RNAcentral is "eukaryotic LSU rRNA". The stretch from base 1 to 241 matches the Rfam family "Eukaryotic small subunit ribosomal RNA", at positions 1593 to 1831 of the family's 1831-position model. Lineage: Eukaryota; Fungi. The record is from RNAcentral.
UUGCUCUUCAACGAGGAAUCCCUAGUAAGCGCAAGUCAUCAGCUUGCGUUGAUUACGUCCCUGCCCUUUGUACACACCGCCCGUCGCUACUACCGAUUGAAUGGCUCAGUGAGGCUUUCGGACUGGCCCGGAAUGGGGGGCAACCCCCGUCCUGGGCCGGAAAGUUAUCCGAACUCGGUCAUUUAGAGGAAGUAAAAGUCGUAACAAGGUCUCCGUUGGUGAACCAGCGGAGGGAUCAUUACAGAGUACUAUACUCAUAACCCUUUGUGAACCUUUAUAACUUGUUGCUUCGGCGGCGCGAGCCCCUCGGGGAGCGUGCCCGCCGGUGUCAUCAGAAUCUCUGUUCGAACCCGACGAUACUUCUGAGUGUUCUAAGCGAACUGUUAAAACUUUCAACAACGGAUCUCUUGGCUCCAGCAUCGAUGAAGAACGCAGCGAAACGCGAUAUGUAAUGUGAAUUGCAGAAUUCAGUGAAUCAUCGAAUCUUUGAACGCACAUGGCGCCUUCCAGUAUCCUGGGAGGCAUGCCUGUCCGAGCGUCGUUUCAACCCUCGAGCCCUCGUGGCCCGGCGUUGGGGAUCUGCCCAGGCAGGCCCCGAAAACCAGUGGCGGACCCGUCCGGGCCCUCUCCUUGCGUAGUAGCAUCAGCCUCGCAUCGGGAGCCGGCGGCUUUCGGCCUCUAAACCCCCCACAAGUCCGCUCCGGCGGCAUCAAGGUUGACCUCGGAUCAGGUAGGAAUACCCGCUGAACUUAAGCAUAUCAAUAAGCGGAGGA